CGAGAAAGCCCGCAAGGGUGAGUAAAGCGGCGCACGGGUGCGUAACACGUGGGUAAUCUGCCCUAGAGUCCGGAAUAACUCGCCGAAAGGCGUGCUAAUGCCGGAUGAGACCACGGGAGCCUCGGCUCCUGCGGGAAAAGGUGGCCUCUGUAUACAAGCUAUCGCUCUAGGAUGAGCCCGCGGCCCAUCAGCUCGUUGGCGGGGUAAUGGCCCACCAAGGCUACGACGGGUAGCUGGUCUGAGAGGACGAUCAGCCACACUGGAACUGAGACACGGUCCAGACUCCUACGGGAGGCAGCAGUGGGGAAACUUGCGCAAUGGGCGAAAGCCUGACGCAGCAACGCCGCGUGUGUGAUGAAGGUCUUCGGAUCGUAAAGCACUGUCGCGAGGGACG
This 394-nucleotide ribosomal RNA is filed under the name uncultured Anaeromyxobacter sp. RNAcentral's name for it is "bacterial SSU rRNA". It matches the Rfam family "Bacterial small subunit ribosomal RNA", at positions 67 to 447 of the family's 1533-position model. Lineage: Bacteria; Pseudomonadati; Myxococcota; Myxococcia; Myxococcales; Anaeromyxobacteraceae. The record is from RNAcentral.